GAGGGUACAGCUCAGUGAUGGAGCGUGUGCUUAGCACGCACGAGGUCCUGGGUUCGAUCCCCAGUACUUCCA
Molecule: transfer RNA, 72 nt
Filed under: Camelus bactrianus (Bactrian camel)
Lineage: Eukaryota; Metazoa; Chordata; Mammalia; Artiodactyla; Camelidae
Also listed under: 1 other name
Rfam family: tRNA
About the family: Transfer RNA (tRNA) molecules are approximately 80 nucleotides in length.
Source: Rfam by way of RNAcentral